ACAGUGGGGAAACGACGUGAUAGUUCUCGCAUACGCCAUGGUUGGGAGAAAGCAGGGGGACGCUUCGGGCCCCACGCUGAUGGAUAAGCCCAGGUGGGAUUAGCUAGUAGGUGGGGGUAAUGCUUCACCUAGGCAACGAUCCCUAGCUGGUCUGAGAGGAUGAUCAGCCACACUGGGAUUGAGACACGGCCCAGACUCCUACGGGAGGCAGCAGUGGGGAAUAUUGCCCAAUGGGGGAAAUCCUGAGGCAGCCAUGCGGCGUGUGUGAAGAAGGCCUUCGGGUUGUAAAGCACUUUCAGCGAGGAGGAAAGGGUGUAAGUUAAUACGUCGCAUCUUUGACGUUACUUGCCGAAGAAGCCCCGGCUAACUCCGUGCCAGCAGCCGCGGUAAUACGGAGGGUGCGAGCGUUAACCGGAAUUACUGGGCGUAAAGCGUGCGCAGGCGGUUUGUUAAGUGAGAUGUGAAAGCCCCGGGCUCAACCUGGGAACCGCAUUUGGAACUGGCAAACUAGAGUCAGGAGAGAGAGUA
Molecule: ribosomal RNA, 528 nt
Filed under: Shewanella putrefaciens
Lineage: Bacteria; Pseudomonadati; Pseudomonadota; Gammaproteobacteria; Alteromonadales; Shewanellaceae
Description: bacterial SSU rRNA
Rfam family: Bacterial small subunit ribosomal RNA
Source: RNAcentral